RNAcentral lists this ribosomal RNA (2487 nucleotides) under Escherichia coli. RNAcentral describes it as "partial 23S ribosomal RNA". It matches the Rfam family "Bacterial large subunit ribosomal RNA", at positions 323 to 2798 of the family's 2925-position model. The record is from RNAcentral. Lineage: Bacteria; Pseudomonadati; Pseudomonadota; Gammaproteobacteria; Enterobacterales; Enterobacteriaceae.
UGUGUGUUAGUGGAAGCGUCUGGAAAGGCGCGCGAUACAGGGUGACAGCCCCGUACACAAAAAUGCACAUGCUGUGAGCUCGAUGAGUAGGGCGGGACACGUGGUAUCCUGUCUGAAUAUGGGGGGACCAUCCUCCAAGGCUAAAUACUCCUGACUGACCGAUAGUGAACCAGUACCGUGAGGGAAAGGCGAAAAGAACCCCGGCGAGGGGAGUGAAAAAGAACCUGAAACCGUGUACGUACAAGCAGUGGGAGCACGCUUAGGCGUGUGACUGCGUACCUUUUGUAUAAUGGGUCAGCGACUUAUAUUCUGUAGCAAGGUUAACCGAAUAGGGGAGCCGAAGGGAAACCGAGUCUUAACUGGGCGUUAAGUUGCAGGGUAUAGACCCGAAACCCGGUGAUCUAGCCAUGGGCAGGUUGAAGGUUGGGUAACACUAACUGGAGGACCGAACCGACUAAUGUUGAAAAAUUAGCGGAUGACUUGUGGCUGGGGGUGAAAGGCCAAUCAAACCGGGAGAUAGCUGGUUCUCCCCGAAAGCUAUUUAGGUAGCGCCUCGUGAAUUCAUCUCCGGGGGUAGAGCACUGUUUCGGCAAGGGGGUCAUCCCGACUUACCAACCCGAUGCAAACUGCGAAUACCGGAGAAUGUUAUCACGGGAGACACACGGCGGGUGCUAACGUCCGUCGUGAAGAGGGAAACAACCCAGACCGCCAGCUAAGGUCCCAAAGUCAUGGUUAAGUGGGAAACGAUGUGGGAAGGCCCAGACAGCCAGGAUGUUGGCUUAGAAGCAGCCAUCAUUUAAAGAAAGCGUAAUAGCUCACUGGUCGAGUCGGCCUGCGCGGAAGAUGUAACGGGGCUAAACCAUGCACCGAAGCUGCGGCAGCGACGCUUAUGCGUUGUUGGGUAGGGGAGCGUUCUGUAAGCCUGUGAAGGUGUGCUGUGAGGCAUGCUGGAGGUAUCAGAAGUGCGAAUGCUGACAUAAGUAACGAUAAAGCGGGUGAAAAGCCCGCUCGCCGGAAGACCAAGGGUUCCUGUCCAACGUUAAUCGGGGCAGGGUGAGUCGACCCCUAAGGCGAGGCCGAAAGGCGUAGUCGAUGGGAAACAGGUUAAUAUUCCUGUACUUGGUGUUACUGCGAAGGGGGGACGGAGAAGGCUAUGUUGGCCGGGCGACGGUUGUCCCGGUUUAAGCGUGUAGGCUGGUUUUCCAGGCAAAUCCGGAAAAUCAAGGCUGAGGCGUGAUGACGAGGCACUACGGUGCUGAAGCAACAAAUGCCCUGCUUCCAGGAAAAGCCUCUAAGCAUCAGGUAACAUCAAAUCGUACCCCAAACCGACACAGGUGGUCAGGUAGAGAAUACCAAGGCGCUUGAGAGAACUCGGGUGAAGGAACUAGGCAAAAUGGUGCCGUAACUUCGGGAGAAGGCACGCUGAUAUGUAGGUGAAGCGACUUGCUCGUGGAGCUGAAAUCAGUCGAAGAUACCAGCUGGCUGCAACUGUUUAUUAAAAACACAGCACUGUGCAAACACGAAAGUGGACGUAUACGGUGUGACGCCUGCCCGGUGCCGGAAGGUUAAUUGAUGGGGUCAGCGCAAGCGAAGCUCUUGAUCGAAGCCCCGGUAAACGGCGGCCGUAACUAUAACGGUCCUAAGGUAGCGAAAUUCCUUGUCGGGUAAGUUCCGACCUGCACGAAUGGCGUAAUGAUGGCCAGGCUGUCUCCACCCGAGACUCAGUGAAAUUGAACUCGCUGUGAAGAUGCAGUGUACCCGCGGCAAGACGGAAAGACCCCGUGAACCUUUACUAUAGCUUGACACUGAACAUUGAGCCUUGAUGUGUAGGAUAGGUGGGAGGCUUUGAAGUGUGGACGCCAGUCUGCAUGGAGCCGACCUUGAAAUACCACCCUUUAAUGUUUGAUGUUCUAACGUUGACCCGUAAUCCGGGUUGCGGACAGUGUCUGGUGGGUAGUUUGACUGGGGCGGUCUCCUCCUAAAGAGUAACGGAGGAGCACGAAGGUUGGCUAAUCCUGGUCGGACAUCAGGAGGUUAGUGCAAUGGCAUAAGCCAGCUUGACUGCGAGCGUGACGGCGCGAGCAGGUGCGAAAGCAGGUCAUAGUGAUCCGGUGGUUCUGAAUGGAAGGGCCAUCGCUCAACGGAUAAAAGGUACUCCGGGGAUAACAGGCUGAUACCGCCCAAGAGUUCAUAUCGACGGCGGUGUUUGGCACCUCGAUGUCGGCUCAUCACAUCCUGGGGCUGAAGUAGGUCCCAAGGGUAUGGCUGUUCGCCAUUUAAAGUGGUACGCGAGCUGGGUUUAGAACGUCGUGAGACAGUUCGGUCCCUAUCUGCCGUGGGCGCUGGAGAACUGAGGGGGGCUGCUCCUAGUACGAGAGGACCGGAGUGGACGCAUCACUGGUGUUCGGGUUGUCAUGCCAAUGGCACUGCCCGGUAGCUAAAUGCGGAAGAGAUAAGUGCUGAAAGCAUCUAAGCACGAAACUUGCC